This 492-nucleotide ribosomal RNA is filed under the name uncultured bacterium. RNAcentral's name for it is "partial 16S ribosomal RNA". It matches the Rfam family "Bacterial small subunit ribosomal RNA", at positions 29 to 507 of the family's 1533-position model. The record is from RNAcentral.
AGUGAACGCUGGCGGUAGGCCUAACACAUGCAAGUCGAACGGCAGCACAGUAAGAGCUUGCUCUUACGGGUGGCGAGUGGCGGACGGGUGAGGAAUACAUCGGAAUCUACUUUUUCGUGGGGGAUAACGUAGGGAAACUUACGCUAAUACCGCAUACGACCUACGGGUGAAAGCAGGGGAUCUUCGGACCUUGCGCGAUUGAAUGAGCCGAUGUCGGAUUAGCUAGUUGGCGAGGUAAAGGCCCACCAAGGCGACGAUCCGUAGCUGGUCUGAGAGGACGAUCAGCCACACUGGAACUGAGACACGGUCCAGACUCCUACGGGAGGCAGCAGUGGGGAAUAUUGGACAAUGGGCGCAAGCCUGAUCCAGCCAUACCGCGUGGGUGAAGAAGGCCUUCGGGUUGUAAAGCCCUUUUGUUGGGAAAGAAAAGCAGCAGGUUAAUACCCCGCUGUUCUGACGGUACCCAAAGAAUAAGCACCGGCUAACUUCGUG